Long non-coding RNA from Homo sapiens (human), 870 nucleotides. RefSeq lists it as uncharacterized. The record is from RefSeq and is a predicted model, not a curated record. NCBI's taxonomy places the organism in Eukaryota, Metazoa, Chordata, Mammalia, Primates, Hominidae. The transcript has 3 exons.
AGCACUUUCUGAGAAGCCCCGUGCAGCUGCUAACAGUGACUGCCUAGGGGAAAAUGGACUUGAAGGAGUAGAGGCCAACUUUUCAUUUUAUACCUUUCUAUACUUUUUAGGACUACCACCUAUGUACGUGCAUUUUAUUUUUGUUAAAUGUUCGCAGGGGAUAUCUGGCAGGACAAGGAACUGGCUGGAAAGGGGCGCGAGGAGAUCUUCUGGGUGACGGAGAUCCAGGUGGUGGUUACUCAGAUGUAUUUUAUCCUUCAAUGAGAAGUUUAUUUCGAAAACGUCCUGUGUCUCUUCCAAAGAUAGCUCCAGCUGGGCAAAGUGGCAGCUCUGUGGGCUCCAACGGAAGAGGCCAAAAGGCCCAUCCUCCUCCUGUCCCCUGGGUUCAAUUCACAGCCCUGCCUGUCUCUAGCUGUGUGAUCCUGGACGUGCCUCUCUGCUUCCUCAGCUCCUGCUUCAAGACAGGCCUAACCAAAUUUUGAGAAGUCCCCAGCAGAGCUCCCGACCCUAAUCAGAGAAGAAGAAUGAAUGUUCUGAGUGGGUACCACAUGGCAGGUGCUAUUCUAAAUACUGAACAGCUGUGAACCCAUUUAAUCCCCGUAAGAAACUGGUGAGCUUGGUUUCAUUUGACUCAAGAGGCCCAGAGACGAAAGCAACUGGUCCAGGGUCACACAGCCAGCAGGAAGUGGAUCAGGGUUGGAACCUGGGCAGUCUGGCCCUGAAGCGCUGCAGAAAGUAUUAUUUUGGGAGCAAAUAGGUAAUAGGUGGUGAGAGCCACCUAAAAAUACCCCUCCUCUCUGGCCCAGUAACCACUUCUAGAAAUCUGCCCUAAACAAGUAACUCAAAUAAAGCGAAAGCUGAGAUACACGA